AGGCUGACACCCCUCUCUGCCCCCCAGGACCUGCUGUGCCCUUCAGAGGGGCUGGGGCUGUGGGGUGAGUGCCCAGAGGAGGCUGUGGGGUGCAGCCCCCUUCAGCAGGCACUGCUGUGGGGCCAUCCCAGCGUGGGCUGCUCUGCUGGGUGGUCUGGGGAGAGGGCAGGGGAGGUGGGGAGAGCUGGGGAGGGUCUGGGCUGGGCUAGAAAGGGCCCGGGAAAGGAAAAAUGCCAGCAGGCAGCUACUAUGUGUGAACGGCAGUGUGGGAGCACAUGGCCGUGUGCUUGCAGGCAAAUGGAGGUCUCCUGGGAAAGGCACCAGGACAUGGAGGGUGCAGGAGAGAAGAGCCCAGGUUGUUCCCUGUGUUGCAUGGACACACUGGGGAAGCUGCCGCAGCGCCAUCGUCCCACACCAGCCCCUCACAUCAUCCCUUUCCAGCACUGGCUGCUCACCCCAGCUGUGGGGUGCUCCGUGGCCAGCUCCGUCCUCCUGCAGGUCUCCAUAUCCAGACACAGGAGAAAAGGCCAGCCUUGCACGGUCUCUCUUCUGCACCACACCCCAGCACAUCCCACAGCACGGCUGUCUGCUAACACCCCCCAUAACUGGGAGGCCUCAGGCAGAGCUUYCCCUGGAAAGCUGAGGCAAAAAAGACACUUAAUGCCCCAGCCCUUUUCAUGUCCAAGGUCUCUGGUGCCAGCUCCAGCUGAGCUCUGCCUUUCUUCACUCCAUCCUUGUAUGCACAAACAAGGUCUUGAUGCCCCCCCGGGCAGCCCAUCCCCCUUCCACCCUUGUGCACUUCCACCCCAGCACCCUGAGUGCUGGUGCUGCUGCCAGGGCAGAGGUGAAGGAUCACCUGGAGGCGUUCCUCAGGGAGGUCCACAGGGAAAAGCUGUGCCCAGACCCAGCCUCAGACCCAGACCCAGCGUGGCAGAGGGGAGCUGCCCUCUCCCAGCAACCCUGGUGGUGUCAGCCCCACCUCAGCCCACUCCUGAAAGGUUCCAGCACAGCUCUCAAGGGAGCUGGAGCU
This 1030-nucleotide long non-coding RNA is filed under the name Apteryx haastii (Great spotted kiwi). RNAcentral's name for it is "lncRNA (ENSAHAG00000013436.1)". Lineage: Eukaryota; Metazoa; Chordata; Aves; Apterygiformes; Apterygidae. The record is from RNAcentral.